This 2807-nucleotide ribosomal RNA is filed under the name gut metagenome. RNAcentral describes it as "bacterial LSU rRNA". It matches the Rfam family "Bacterial large subunit ribosomal RNA". The record is from RNAcentral.
AGGGCACAAGGCGGAUGCCUAGGCACUAGGAGCCGAAGAAGGACGUGACAAGCUGCGAAAAGCCGCGGGUAGGAGCAAAUAUCCGACAAUCCGCGGAUAUCCGAAUGGAGGAAUCCGGCUGUAGUAAUGUACAGUCAUCCACAGGUGAAUAAAAUAGUCUGUGGAGGGGAACGCGGGGAACUGAAACAUCUAAGUACCCGUAGGAGAAGAAAGAGAGAUCGAUUUCCUAAGUAGCGGCGAGCGAAAGGGAAAGAGGCCAAACCGAUAGUUUACUAUCGGGGUUGCGGGCUAUCAGAAAGGACGUAUGAUGUAUAGUCGAAGAGGAAUGGAACUUCCCACCGAAGAGGGUAAAGGUCCCGUAGACGAAAUGCAGCAUAUACCCAAGAUAGUACCAGAGUAGCACCGGACAAGUGGAACCCGGUGUGAAGCCGGGGGGCCCACCCCCCAAGCCUAAAUACUACCUAGUGACCGAUAGCGCAUAGUACCGUGAGGGAAAGGUGAAAAGAACCCCGGGAGGGGAGUGAAAAAGAACCUGAAACCUUGUGCUUACAAGCAAUGGGAGCGCAAGUGACCAUGUACUUUUUGUAGAACGGGCCAACGAGUUAUGGUAUGUAGCGAGGUUAAGGUGUAAAGCACCGGAGCCGAAGGGAAACCGAGUCUUAAGAGGGCGAGUAGUUACAUGCUGUAGACCCGAAACCGGGUGACCUAUCCAUGAGCAGGUUGAAGUAACCGUAAAAGGUUAUGGAGGACCGAACCUAUAUCUGUGAAAAAGGUUAGGAUGACUUGUGGAUAGCGGUGAAAUUCCAAUCGAACUCGGAGAUAGCUGGUUCUCCUCGAAAUAGCUUUAGGGCUAGCCUUACGGAGAGAUACGCGGGGGUAGAGCACUGAAUGUUCUAGGGGCCUUCACCGGUUACCGAAAACUAUCAAACUCCGAAUACCGCAGUAUUAGCCGUGGGAGUCAGACUACGAGAGAUAAGUUCCGUGGUCAAAAGGGAAACAGCCCAGACCUACAGCUAAGGUCCCAAAAUGUAAGUUAAGUGGAGAAGGAUGUGGAGCUGCACAGACAACUAGGAUGUUGGCUUAGAAGCAGCCACUCAUUUAAAGAGUGCGUAAUAGCUCACUAGUCGAGUGACUCUGCGCCGAAGAUAAACGGGGCUAAAACUUACUACCGAAGCUUAGGAUGCAGCAAUGCAUGGUAGAGGAGCAUCGUAUACGGGCAGAAGCCGAGCUGUAAGGCGAGGUGGACUGUAUACGAGAGAGAAUGUUGGCAUAAGUAGCGAGAGGCAGGUGAGAAUCCUGUCCGCCGAAAAUCUAAGGUUUCCUGAGGAAGGUUCGUCCACUCAGGGUUAGUCGGGACCUAAGCCGAGGGCGAAAGCCGUAGGCGAUGGACAACAGGUUGAUAUUCCUGUACCACCGAAAUCUGUUUGAGCGAAGUGGGGACACAGAAGGAUAGGUUGAGCACGCCGUUGGUAGAGCGUGUCCAAGCGUCAAGGGAGAUAAGACAGGCAAAUCCGUUUUAUCAAUUCUGAGGCGUGAUGGGGUGACCGAAUGGUCGGAAGCAACUGAUUUCACACUGUCAAGAAAAGCCGCUAGUGAGGACGUAGGUGCCCGUACCGCAAACCGACACAGGUAGAUGAGGAGAGAAUCCUAAGGCGAGCGAGAGAACUAUUGUUAAGGAACUCGGCAAAAUGACCCCGUAACUUCGGGAGAAGGGGUGCCAGGGAAACCUGGCCGCAGUGAAAUGUCCCAGGCGACUGUUUACCAAAAACACAGGUCUCUGCUAAAGCGAAAGCUGAAGUAUAGGGGCUGACGCCUGCCCGGUGCUGGAAGGUUAAGGGGAAGUGUUAGCGCAAGCGAAGCACAGAACUUAAGCCCCAGUAAACGGCGGCCGUAACUAUAACGGUCCUAAGGUAGCGAAAUUCCUUGUCGGGUAAGUUCCGACCCGCACGAAAGGCGUAACGAUCUGGGAACUGUCUCAACAAUAGACUCGGUGAAAUUGUAGUACCGGUAAAGAUGCCGGUUACCCGCAGCAGGACGGAAAGACCCCAUGGAGCUUCACUGUAGCUUGAUAUUGAGUUUCGGCGUUGCAUGUACAGGAUAGGUGGGAGACAUUGAAGUCAGGACGCAAGUCUUGGCGGAGUCACCGUUGGGAUACCACCCUUGUAACGUUGAGAUUCUAACGGCAUGCCGUGAACCGGCAUCCGGACAGUGUCAGGUGGGCAGUUUGACUGGGGCGGUCGCCUCCUAAAGAGUAACGGAGGCGCCCAAAGGUUCCCUCAGCGCGGACGGAAAUCGCGCGAAGAGUGUAAAGGCAGAAGGGAGCUUGACUGCGAGACAGACAAGUCGAGCAGGGACGAAAGUCGGGCUUAGUGAUCCGGUGGUUCCGAGUGGAAGGGCCAUCGCUCAACGGAUAAAAGCUACCCUGGGGAUAACAGGCUGAUACCCCCCAAGAGUUCACAUCGACGGGGGUGUUUGGCACCUCGAUGUCGGCUCGUCUCAUCCUGGGGCUGAAGUAGGUCCCAAGGGUUGGGCUGUUCGCCCAUUAAAGAGGUACGCGAGCUGGGUUCAGAACGUCGUGAGACAGUUCGGUCCCUAUCCGCUGUGGGCGUUGGAAAUUUGAGUGGAGCUGUCCCUAGUACGAGAGGACCGGGAUGGACGUAGCUCUGGUGCACCAGUUGUUCUGCCAAGGGCAUAGCUGGGUAGCUACCUACGGACGGGAUAAGCGCUGAAAGCAUCUAAGUGCGAAGCCCCCCACAAGAAAAGAUUUCCUCCUUUAAGGUAAGACUCGUGGGAGACUACCACGUUGA